AUAAAGGAAGAGGGCAACGUUAUCAUCUGACUGCUUGUAGCUGUGGAAGGGCGGCGUAGAAGAGGAAAGGCUGGGGGUUUCGGAUGGUUGUUUUUGAAGCCAUCAGUAUUCUUGAAGAAGCAGCAUAUCUUGAACUGUCCUAUGGGUGAAGGCUUUGAUGUGGUCCUGUAAAAACUGGCAUUGAAAUGGAUGGCAUCUGAUCCUGCUUCAUGUGAUUCUUCAUUUAGCUCUGGACUCUUUACAUCAUUAAGGUACCCUGAAUAUAUUCAGUAUGGCUUUUUCUUUGCAGGAAUUUAAAAGCAACCCUAUGAAUAUAACAUUUGUCAAAAAGAGCAAGUGCCAAGCCAGUUGAGAAUAACCUUACAAUGUGUACAAGGAUUCCAGUUCUGCUGCUAUAUAAACCAGCCUCAAAUAGUCUGAGUCUGUGAUAUCACUGGGUCACCCCCAUCACUUCAGUAGAAGGCCUGCCACUGCCUGACAUGUGAAAGAGAGCAUCCAGGAUAAGCCACCUGUCAAACUGUCAACUUUAUGCAGAUAUACAAGUGACAGGUUUGAGAUCAGCCCAGCCCAGUCAACAGAGAAAUAUCCCAGUAGAAUCAUUAUAUAAUUAAAUAACAUUAAAAAAAAAAAAAAAAGAAAAACUAAGU
Molecule: long non-coding RNA, 647 nt
Organism: Homo sapiens (human)
Lineage: Eukaryota; Metazoa; Chordata; Mammalia; Primates; Hominidae
Product: long intergenic non-protein coding RNA 2064
Source: Ensembl